RNAcentral lists this long non-coding RNA (414 nucleotides) under Panicum hallii. RNAcentral describes it as "long non-coding RNA (PHAL_LNC000407)". Lineage: Eukaryota; Viridiplantae; Streptophyta; Magnoliopsida; Poales; Poaceae. The record is from RNAcentral.
UUUGAUGAUGGGAUUGAGUCGAGGAUGACUCCAAUUCAAGAAGGGGAGGAUGAUGAGAAUAUUACCAUGCUGGACAUGCACGAGCCGGCCUCAUUACCAAGCUACAAGUCGUCGCCAACUUGGACUGCGAGUUCGGUUCGGAUUCAGCCAACCACCUUGCACCAAAACGGCGAUAUCUCCCUCAUACGGCGUCCAAAUAAGGUGUUCUUGGAUGCGUUGGAAAUCUGACAAUGAGAUGCUUCUUUUGGUUCUAGUCCUAGCUCCAGAAGCCUCGUGGAUCAUUCUGUGUGACCACAACAAGAUGCUGCGUCACCAGUUUUGAGCCUUUUCAGGCUUUAUAUCGUGUCGGCUUUAAGCCCAAGUUGUGGGCACCCCCCUGAUUGCCCCAGCCCUAGGACGUCCCUCUUUGCAUAA